RNAcentral lists this ribosomal RNA (164 nucleotides) under Marsdenia tinctoria. Its description in RNAcentral is "5.8S ribosomal RNA". It matches the Rfam family "5.8S ribosomal RNA". From Rfam's summary of the family: 5.8S ribosomal RNA (5.8S rRNA) is a component of the large subunit of the eukaryotic ribosome. The record is from RNAcentral. Lineage: Eukaryota; Viridiplantae; Streptophyta; Magnoliopsida; Gentianales; Apocynaceae.
CACACGACUCUCGGCAACGGAUAUCUAGGCUCUCGCAUCGAUGAAGAACGUAGCAAACUGCGAUACUUGGUGUGAAUUGCAAAAUCCCGUGAACCAUCGAGUCUUUGAACGCAAGUUGCGCCCGAAGCCAUUAGGCCGAGGGCACGUCUGCCUGGGCGUCACGC